RNAcentral lists this ribosomal RNA (253 nucleotides) under uncultured bacterium. RNAcentral describes it as "partial 16S ribosomal RNA". It matches the Rfam family "Bacterial small subunit ribosomal RNA", at positions 524 to 776 of the family's 1533-position model. The record is from RNAcentral.
UACGUAGGUGGCAAGCGUUGUCCGGAAUUAUUGGGCGUAAAGCGCGCGCAGGCGGCCUUUUAAGUCUGAUGUGAAAGCCCACGGCUCAACCGUGGAAGGUCAUUGGAAACUGAAAGGCUUGAGUACAGAAGAGGAAAGCGGAAUUCCACGUGUAGCAGUGAAAUGCGUAGAUAUGCGGAGGAACACCGAUGGCGAAGGCAAUCCCCUGGGCCUGCACUGACGCUCAUGCGCGAAAGCGUGGGGAGCAAACAGG